UGCGCAGGCGGCCUGCUAAGUCGGAUGUGAAAGCCCCGGGCUUAACCUGGGAAUUGCAUUCGAUACUGGCAGGCUAGAGUUUGGUAGAGGUAAGCGGAAUUCCGGGUGUAGCGGUGAAAUGCGUAGAUAUCCGGAGGAACAUUAGUGGCGAAGGCGGCUUACUGGACCAAAACUGACGCUCAUGCACGAAAGCGUGGGUAGCAAACA
Molecule: ribosomal RNA, 207 nt
Filed under: uncultured bacterium
Lineage: Bacteria
Description: partial 16S ribosomal RNA
Rfam family: Bacterial small subunit ribosomal RNA
Source: RNAcentral